UACGUAGGGGGCGAGCGUUGUCCGGAUUUAUUGGGCGUAAAGAGCUCGUAGGCGGCUUGGCAAGUCGGGUGUGAAACCUCCAGGCUCAACCUGGAGACGCCACUCGAUACUGCUAUGGCUAGAGUCCGGUAGGGGACCACGGAAUUCCUGGUGUAGCGGUGAAAUGCGUAGAUAUUGGGAGGAACACCGGUGGCGAAGGCGGCAUCCUGGACCGGUAUUGACGCUGAGGCGCGAAAGCUAGGGGAGCAAACGGG
RNAcentral lists this ribosomal RNA (254 nucleotides) under uncultured bacterium. RNAcentral describes it as "partial 16S ribosomal RNA". It matches the Rfam family "Bacterial small subunit ribosomal RNA", at positions 524 to 776 of the family's 1533-position model. The record is from RNAcentral.